This 308-nucleotide ribosomal RNA is filed under the name uncultured bacterium. Its description in RNAcentral is "bacterial SSU rRNA". It matches the Rfam family "Bacterial small subunit ribosomal RNA", at positions 29 to 334 of the family's 1533-position model. The record is from RNAcentral.
AUGAACGCUAGCGGGAGGCUUAACACAUGCAAGUCGAGGGGCAGCAUUAUCGCUUGCGAUAGAUGGCGACCGGCGCACGGGUGCGUAACGCGUAUACAACUUACCCUUUACAGGAAGAUAGCCCGGAGAAAUCCGGAUUAAUAUUCCAUAGUAUAAUAAAGCCACAUGGUUUAAUUAUUAAAGAUUCAUCGGUAAAGGAUGGGUAUGCGUGACAUUAGGUAGUUGGUAAGGUAACGGCUUACCAAGCCCACGAUGUCUAGAGGGCCUGAGAGGGUGAUCCCCCACACUGGUACUGAGACACGGACCAG